This 737-nucleotide ribosomal RNA is filed under the name uncultured bacterium. Its description in RNAcentral is "bacterial SSU rRNA". It matches the Rfam family "Bacterial small subunit ribosomal RNA", at positions 57 to 784 of the family's 1533-position model. The record is from RNAcentral.
GCAGUCGAGCGGCAGCACAGAGGAACUUGUUCCUUGGGUGGCGAGCGGCGGACGGGUGAGUAAUGCCUGGGAAAUUGCCCGGUAGAGGGGGAUAACCAUUGGAAACGAUGGCUAAUACCGCAUAACCUCGCAAGAGCAAAGCAGGGGACCUUCGGGCCUUGCGCUACCGGAUAUGCCCAGGUGGGAUUAGCUAGUUGGUGAGGUAAGGGCUCACCAAGGCGACGAUCCCUAGCUGGUCUGAGAGGAUGAUCUGCCACACUGGAACUGAGACACGGUCCAGACUCCUACGGGAGGCAGCAGUGGGGAAUAUUGCACAAUGGGCGCAAGCCUGAUGCAGCCAUGCCGCGUGUAUGAAGAAGGCCUUCGGGUUGUAAAGUACUUUCAGUAGGGAGGAAGGUGGUUAAGUUAAUACCUUAAUCAUUUGACGUUACCUACAGAAGAAGCACCGGCUAACUCCGUGCCAGCAGCCGCGGUAAUACGGAGGGUGCAAGCGUUAAUCGGAAUUACUGGGCGUAAAGCGCAUGCAGGUGGUUUGUUAAGUCAGAUGUGAAAGCCCUGGGCUCAACCUAGGAAUCGCAUUUGAAACUGACAAGCUAGAGUACUGUAGAGGGGGGUAGAAUUUCAGGCGUAGCGGUGAAAUGCGUAGAGAUCUGAAGGAAUACCGGUGGCGAAGGCGGCCCCCUGGACAGAUACUGACACUCAGAUGCGAAAGCGUGGGGAGCAAACAGGAUUAGAUA